UACAUGUGGGGCAAGCGUUGUUCGGAAUUACUGGGCAUAAAGGGUGCGUAGGUGGUCUGAUAAGUCAGUGGUGAAAUCCCGUGGCCCAACCAUGGAACUGCCAUUGAUACUGUUGGACUCGAGUGCGUGAGGGGUGACUGGAACGCGUGGUGUAGCGGUGAAAUGCGUAGAUAUCACGCGGAAGGCCAACGGCGAAGGCAAGUCACUGGUGCGCAACUGACACUGAGGCACGAAAGCGUGGGGAGCAAACAGG
This 253-nucleotide ribosomal RNA is filed under the name uncultured bacterium. Its description in RNAcentral is "partial 16S ribosomal RNA". It matches the Rfam family "Bacterial small subunit ribosomal RNA", at positions 524 to 776 of the family's 1533-position model. The record is from RNAcentral.